GACUACUACUAUCAGAAUUCGGUUUAGCCAUGCGAGGCAUCUGUAGCAAUACAGGCCGCACUGCUCAGUAACACGUAGUUAACCUGCCCUAUGCACGGAGAUAAUCCUGGGAAACUGGGCGUAAUAUCCGAUAGGCGAUAAUUGCUGGAAGGCAUCUUCGCUUAAAGCCGCAAGGCGGAAUAGGAUGGGACUGCGUCGGAUUAGCUUGUUGUUGAGGUAAUUGCUCAACAAGGCUGUAAUCCGUACGGGUCGUGAGAGCGAUUGCCCGAAGAUGGCUUCUGAGACAUGAAGCCAGGCCCUACGGGGCGCAGCAGGCGCGAAAACUUCGCAAUGCACGAAAGUGUGACGAGGGAAUUCUGAGUGAUAUCGCAAUGCGGUAUCUUUUGUGCACUGUAAAAAGGUGCACGAAUAAGGGGUGGGUAAGACGGUUGCCAGCCGCCGCGGUAAUUCGAAGAAUCG
This 459-nucleotide ribosomal RNA is filed under the name uncultured archaeon. RNAcentral describes it as "bacterial SSU rRNA". It matches the Rfam family "Archaeal small subunit ribosomal RNA", at positions 22 to 484 of the family's 1478-position model. The record is from RNAcentral.